AAUAGAUGACGCCGUUGACUUUUUCUCACAUGUUUGACCAUUCGUCUUAUUCAAAAUAUUUACGUAAUUAUAAUUUAUUUUGUUAUGAGUUGUUUUAUCACUCAUAAUACUUUAAGUGUGAUUUAUAUUUUAUACAUUUGCAUAAAAUUUUUAAAUAAAACGAAUGAUUAAACGUGUGAGAAAAAAUCAAUGGAUAACCGUCGU
This 204-nucleotide microRNA precursor is filed under the name Oryza rufipogon (brownbeard rice). Its description in RNAcentral is "MIR812 microRNA precursor family". It matches the Rfam family "MIR812 microRNA precursor family". Lineage: Eukaryota; Viridiplantae; Streptophyta; Magnoliopsida; Poales; Poaceae. The record is from Rfam by way of RNAcentral.